Molecule: non-coding RNA, 133 nt
Filed under: Micromonospora rosaria
Lineage: Bacteria; Bacillati; Actinomycetota; Actinomycetes; Micromonosporales; Micromonosporaceae
Source: RNAcentral
AACGGGAAGCCGGUGUGGAACCGGCGCGGCCCUCGCCACUGUGACCGGGGAGCACGCUCCGACUUGCAUGCCACUGGGUCCUUCCGGGCCUGGGAAGGCCGGAGUACGCGACGAUCCGGAAGCCAGGAGACCG